Molecule: ribosomal RNA, 492 nt
Filed under: uncultured bacterium
Lineage: Bacteria
Description: partial 16S ribosomal RNA
Rfam family: Bacterial small subunit ribosomal RNA
Source: RNAcentral
AGUGAACGCUGGCGGUAGGCCUAACACAUGCAAGUCGAACGGCAGCACAGUAAGAGCUUGCUCUUACGGGUGGCGAGUGGCGGACGGGUGAGGAAUACAUCGGAAUCUACUUUUUCGUGGGGGAUAACGUAGGGAAACAUACGCUAAUACCGCAUACGACCUACGGGUGAAAGCAGGGGAUCUUCGGACCUUGCGCGAUUGAAUGAGCCGAUGUCGGAUUAGCUAGUUGGCGGGGUAAAGGCCCACCAAGGCGACGAUCCGUAGCUGGUCUGAGAGGAUGAUCAGCCACACUGGAACUGAGACACGGUCCAGACUCCUACGGGAGGCAGCAGUGGGGAAUAUUGGACAAUGGGCGCAAGCCUGAUCCAGCCAUACCGCGUGGGUGAAGAAGGCCUUCGGGUUGUAAAGCCCUUUUGUUGGGAAAGAAAAGCAGCAGGUUAAUACCCCGCUGUUCUGACGGUACCAAAAGAAUAAGCACCGGCUAACUUCGUG